GCGGGUAUUGUAUAAUGGCUUAUUAUGUCAGCCUUCCAAGCUGAAGAUACGGGUUCGAUUCCCGUUACCCGCUCCA
Molecule: transfer RNA, 76 nt
Filed under: bacterium
Lineage: Bacteria
Description: tRNA-Gly
Rfam family: tRNA
About the family: Transfer RNA (tRNA) molecules are approximately 80 nucleotides in length.
Source: RNAcentral